GAGAUAGCUGGUACUCCCCUAAAGCUAGUUAGGUAGCGCCUCGUGACCUCAUCUUCGGGGGUAGAGCACGGUUUCGGCAAGGGGGUCAUCCCGACUUACCAACCCGAUGCAAACUGCUAAUACCGGAG
Molecule: ribosomal RNA, 128 nt
Filed under: Escherichia coli
Lineage: Bacteria; Pseudomonadati; Pseudomonadota; Gammaproteobacteria; Enterobacterales; Enterobacteriaceae
Description: partial 23S ribosomal RNA
Rfam family: Bacterial large subunit ribosomal RNA
Source: RNAcentral